RNAcentral lists this long non-coding RNA (256 nucleotides) under Mytilus galloprovincialis (Mediterranean mussel). The record is from RNAcentral. Lineage: Eukaryota; Metazoa; Mollusca; Bivalvia; Mytilida; Mytilidae.
UGUAUCACGAUAAUGACCAGUUGUCCAAGAACUAUUAUGUUUAUUUCAUUGAGAAACCAUGUUUUGGUAAAUUCUCAUAAAUUCAAAAUGCCUAAAGCAAACUCGAGUAGUUAUACGAUUUCUAUGGCAAGAGUGAAUACCAGUCGUAGUAAUACUGCCAUUCUUUUAGUGCUAUUUUUCAGUAUAUAAAUACUUAAUCAAGUUCUCUAUAAUUUUAUAAUUAACGAAAACAUAUAGUAAACAAUCUAACAACUUA